Molecule: long non-coding RNA, 6186 nt
Filed under: Nicotiana tabacum (common tobacco)
Lineage: Eukaryota; Viridiplantae; Streptophyta; Magnoliopsida; Solanales; Solanaceae
Description: long non-coding RNA (NTAB_LNC005516)
Source: RNAcentral
GGAAAGAUAGUACAUUCAACACAGUUAGUUCAUUUUAUAUCACAACCUUAAACCGUAAUUAAGUUUCCAAGAUUCCAUACAAUUACAUUUUAGAUAAGCGAGAGCUAGAAUUACAACAUAGUUCAUAGACCCAUCCAACACCCGUACAUAACCCACACAUAUGUCUACGGAGCCUCUAAGGAUGCAAAAGACAAGUAUGACAAUGCCGGCAACAAGGCCCCGGCUAUACCUCAAAAGUGGAUAUCUAUAGCAAAAGAUGUACAACAUAACCCCCUUGAAGGAGAAAGGGGCUCACCAAGACUUUGAGAGGAGGAUGUUCCGCUACGCGCGAUCGACACUACCCAUUAUGGAGCCACCUACAUUCAUUUAAACAUGUAGCAUCCCCGCAAAAGGGACGUUAGUACCAUGGAAUAGUACUAGUAUGUAUAACUAAACACCAUCUAGUUAGAAAGAACAACCAUACAAGAGUAAAAGAAAUCAUAAGGACAACAAUGCUUCAAAUAAGCAUCACAUCAAUAAUAUAAGAGAUUCACAUAGUUUUUACAUAAUUUCUGAAAUUUUUGGUUGGGAAUUCUUUAUCGUUGCAUCAUUAUCCACAUUACCAGCGUUUCCUUGAGCGGAGUCCGAUCACGGACCGAUCGGCUAAGCCGUCUUACCAAAACAUUACUCUUAUUUCAUUAUCACUUUUCAGUUUCAAUUAUCAAAACAUUACCACCAUGUGUGUAUAACAUGGCGUCCGAUCACGGCCCGAUCAGCUAAGCCGUCUUACUAAGACGUUACCCUUUUCCGUCUCUCACUUCAAUCUUUGGAUUCACAUGAAUUAGUUUCUCGGUACUUGGGGCCACAAUUACCACAUUUCAUAACUCACAUUUUGCAUUAUUCCCAUUUUCAACAUUUAUCUUGCCAUUUAGGAUCAUAGGCACAUAUAAAAGCAAUUCAAGUUAUAAACAUAGAAAGAAAUUCAUCUAGUUCGGCAUGUUAAUCUCAAUGUAACCAUGACUUGACAUUUAGGCAUUUAGCACAUAGCUCAUGUUUUUCCACACAUCCUUAAUUUACAAAGAAUAACACACUAAACACAUGGAGAAGCAUCUUCCAAAUACCUUUUUAUAACAUCAAUUUAUUUGACAUAACAAGUACCACAUCAAUCGAAUUCUGGGCUUACAACAUUUGCAUGGGCACCAUGGAGGCUCAAUUUCUAAAAGGAGGGGUUUUUAGCCAUACAUACCUUGUUUAAGCGUUCCUUAAGUUACUACAAUGUUUCGGAAAUUCUAGCAAUCCCAAUCUACUUGAGACAUAACAAAAUUGAACACAAAUUAGGAAGGUAUUCAUGGUUUUGAGCAUUUUAUCAAAUACUAGUUGAGUAUUUUGAUUUCAAAUCUCUUUUACAAGAUUUUCUUCAUCCCCCAACCCAACCUUUACUUAUUUAUGCUCAACAAUCUUCCCACAAACCUAAUUUGUACAUGCAUGUAUACAUAUUACUAUUACACCCAAGAAUCAUACCUCAAUAACCCAUCUCACAAUCUCUACAAUACCAACACAACCUAGGUUAAGCACCUAUGGCUUCCAAUCACCAUCCCAUGAGUUACAAUACUUAAUUCAUACUCAUAUUCCCAUAAUAUAUCCAUAUAUGUAAGACUAAGGAUGUAGAAUUUACCUUUUCGAAGAAAACUAGCAAACCCUUCUUUGAGUUCUUAAAGAAAUUUCUUGGAGAUCUAUGUGUUUUAUGAGUAGAUUUCAUUAAUACUAGUGUAGGAAUAAUGGAAUUUUACACCAAGGUAAUGGAUAUUACUUACCUUGAAGAUGGAAGGGGUUGGAGGUCUUGAGAGAGUGGAAGAAGACCCUAAGAGUCGUCCAAAAGAAAUGGGAGAAAAUGAAUCCCGAAAUUGUGCUUAUAAGCCCAGAUUUCGGAUGCUGCCUUGGAUGGUUCGCAUCCCCACUUCACUCCUCUCAGGAGCUCGGAUGCUGACCCGGAUGCUAUGGCAGCACUUCACUGCCAGCUCCUCUUUUUGGAUGCUGCCUCGGAUGCUUCGCAUCCGCACAGUCCUCUACCAACCUUUGGUAAUUUGGUCAUAACUUUGUGUAGGAAAGUCCAAAUGAUGAACGGUUUGAAGAGUUAGAGACUAGACUCAAAGGCCUUUCAUUUGAUAGGCUGUGCAUCAUCUAAAACCUUAUAUAUCUGUAGGUACGCUCGUCCAAAGUGUGGUCUUGUGCGUACUCAUUUGAAAUUUUAGUCUAUCAUGUAAUUUUCCAACUUAGCUUAGACUUAGGCCUCUCCUUAAACCUCAAAUCACUUAUAAUAUGACUUAUAUGCUUAUUAACAUAUCCAAGUGAUAUCCAUUAUAUCAUGACUUCUCAUUUGCACACAAAAUAAAAUAAUUAGCCUACCUUGGCACCACGAAAUCUUAAAUUACUUAGCAAAAUUUUCUGGGGAUUUACAAUAUCAGUCCGCCGCACAUCCUUGACUACUUUGAGACUUUAUGGUGAGCUGCCUUCUAAGCCAGUUUUGCAGCAGUCGAAGUCUUCCUUUGCUUUAUUUUCUGUCUAUUUCAUUUCAGACAAUAGUGUAGUAUUCUUUUGUAUAUUCUACUAAUAGCUCAUACACUUGUGACACCAGGUCUUGGAGGUUUAAGCUAGUAGACACUUGAUAGUUUUUUUUGGGGGGGGGGGUAUCUUAUUUAUCUCAUUGCUUUAAAAAUCUUGAUCUUUUAUUUUUAUUUAAUUCUUACUUCUUAUUUAUGCACAAACUAGAAAUUAACUAUUUCAAAUUUGUAAAAGAAAGAAUCAUAGAGUUAGUUCACUGUAGGCUUGCCUAACGACAACUAUGGGCGCCAUCAUGGCUUAUAGGAUAAAUUGGAUCGUGACAAUAUGGUAUCAUAGCACUAGGUUCACGUAGGUCUCACACGUUAUGAUCAGGGCUAAUAGAGUCUUGCGGAUCGGUGCAGAGACGUCUGUACUUAUCUUCGAGAGACUAUAGGGUGUUAAAAAACUACUUUUUCUUCAUCUCCUAUCAUGCAAUUGAUGUUGUAUUAAGUGUCUUUCUCUAAUUCUCUCACAGAUGGUGAAAACGCACAUGACAGAUGUUCCAAACUAGUGAGGAGCUUCUCCCCUAUUUCUAGAGGCUGAGGUCGAGGAUGGGGGAAAGAACCAGCUCGAGGUAGGGGACGAGGACGUUCUAGAGUUGUCCCAGCUAUACCACCAGCGGAUCUGGUAGAGGAUCCCAUUAUUAAGGAGAAGGGCAAGGUGCCUGCACCAGAGCCAGCCCCGGUAGAUUUCAUGUUGGCACCGGGCUUCCAGGAGGUUAUGGGCCGUAUGCUAUGGUUCAUGGAUUCUAUGACCCAGGCUAGUUUAUUUCCAGUAGACCCAGCCACAUCUCAGGCGGGAAGGGGGAGCACAAACCCCUACUGCUUAGGCUCCUGGACAUGCAACUGUCGUUUAUCAGACCCCGAGCACACUACUCGUGGGCGGAGCCCAGCCAGUUGCAGCAGUUGUAUGUGAGCGUACACCAGCUGCGACUAGCAAGCUGCAGAAGCUAAUGGAUAGAUGGGCCAGGCUUCACCCUCCUGUCUUCAGGGGUGAGUGACAUGAGGAUCCCCAGGACUUCAUUGAUAGGUGCAGGGAUAGACUGCACAACAUGAGUAUAUUAGAGUCACAUGGGGUGGAUUUCACUACUUUCCAGCUGGAGGGCAGGGCCCGUAGAUGGUGGCAAUCAUAUCUUCUCGGCAUAUCAGCAGGUUCUCCUCCCAUGAUUUGGGAUCAGUUUACACGCCUUUUCUUGGAUAGGUAUAUUCCACCCUCCUAAAGUGAGGAGUUGCGGUGUUAGUUUGAGUGACUAUGAGGCGAGAUUCUCUUAGUUGUCUCGCCAUACACUUAUGAUACUUCCUACUGACGCGGAGAGAGUGCAGAAGUUUGUUGUGGUGUUGCACUUAGGUAUUCAGGCCACUAUAGCCUAGGAGGUUGAGAUGGGUACUUCUUAUCAGCUAGUAGUAGGGAUAGCUCAGAAGAUUGAGGGUUACUGUCAAAGAGGUAGAGAGCAGAUGUAGCGGGACAAACGGGUCCGUUAUUUUGGAGAGUUUAGAGGUGUCCCCUCUAGAGGCAGAGGUCAGUUUGGGAGAGGUCAGCCUGGCAUGCCCAAAUAUCCAGCACCGCCACCUCCUCGGGGUGCUCCAGUGCGACCUUAUUUUUGUUCCAUGCUAGAGAGUUCAUAAUGCCUGUCACACCUCCUUUUUACUACCCACAGGAGUUUUUUCCAAAUAAAGUGACAAUCUAAACGAGAUUAUUUAUAUUAAAUCAGAGUCGCCACUUGGGAUAAUUUAGGGUGUCCCAAGUCACCGGUGUAAAUCUCGAAUCGAGGAAAGAUUGACUCUGUUUUACAGUCCGCAAACACAGAAAUCCGGAUAAGGAAUUCUGUUAACCCGGGAGAAGGUGUUAGGCAUUCCCGGGUUCCGUGGUUUUAGCACGGUCGCUCAACUAUUAUUAUUAGCCUAAUUAUCUGAUUUAUUACACGUCUUAAACCUAUUGUGCAUUUUAAACUUUAUAACCACUUUUAUUUAUUCAAGGAAUUAUUUUCUUGAACAAGGCACGAUUGUCGUACACUCAUCAUUUUGGUACACAUUGCAAACCACGCUACAUGAAAUGUAUCCGCGAUUUGCGACAUGUUUAUUUUAUUAUUAUUAUUAGAAAUUAAAAUCGGGUCACAUGAAAUGCACACCCAAACUAAAAUUUACGCAUCGUGACCAUAAACCAUAGCAAAAUGAACAGCCCUCUUGUGAGUGAAUCAACAAAUUGAACUAGUCAAGAAAACAUUAGAUGAAGCCCAAUGACGAUUGGUGCCAGAAGUAAUUGUAUUUGAAUAAUUGCAGAAAACACAAAAUCACAUUUCGAAGUCCCACCACAAACCUUAUGGACCAUAUAUUUCUUACACAUAUACAGAAUCAUCAACCCAAUUAAAAUGACCAAUUCAACCAAGCCAAUUUUCUGCUAGUCCAUUAUUUCUAUCAUUAAUAUAAUAUUUUUAGCUAAUAACAAAAAUAUCAAAUGCAUUCAUCAUAUCAUGGACUAAUUUCUCACAUUGAAGCAUUGAAACACAAGGGACAAAUAAGUAUAUAAUUUAAGAUACCCAUUUUAACAUGCUAGUGAACGGCCAAACAUCCUCUAAUUUAAAUAAAAAAACAGAAAUGAACUUUUAAGCAAACCCACUUUAAGACAUGGAAUCAAAAUUUGCAUAGGCCCAAAUACUUAAUGAAAUAAUCAUUCAACCAAAAUUAGAAUCAAGCUAGGAAGACAUGGUUGCACAGAACGAACCUUUAUUAUUGCCGAAUUUGAAAUUGUAGAACUUUGCAAUUUAACAAAUGGACGGAACACCACUGACAACGACCAGAAAUCAGUGAUGGCAACUUCGACCUCAACAGACCAGAAAUGAAAACGUCAUUGCGCCUUUCAACCUCAAACGACAAUAGGGCUCGACUCGGAAUCAAUGUCGAACAACAGUCAAAUAACAUCUAUCUCAGUUUCUGCUUAAAGUUUCUGCCGGAUUUCUGGCCAUUUAUGGUACCUGUUGCUGCUGGUUGCUAGUGAGUUCUGGUGUGAGGUAAUGGAGUUACGAUCGUGGGCUGGUGGAGGAUGGCGAUGAGCAGAAGCGUUUGGUGAAUAUGAAUGAGGGGGGUCAUGACUGAAGGUUGCUCUGGAGACUAGGGUUCUUUCUUCUUUGCGUUAGGUCUCAUAUGUUCAAGGUUGAAGAUGAAAGAAACAGGUCCAUGGGGUUCGACGGUUGAUUUGUUCUGUGUAUAGGUCUCCUGGAAUGGAGUUUGCCAUUUUCUUUAAGAAGAAGAAACAACUCCUUUAUGCUGAAAAUUGGAGGAGACGAAUCAAGGGGAUGGGGGUCGUUUUGUGAUUUGCGGCUGACUUAAUGAAGAAGCAGCAACAACAACUCCUAGUUCUUUUUGACGUUAGAUCUUAGAGCCUCAUGAAGAAGAAGCUCAUGAAGGUCUCAUUUUCAUUCUCAGCCGCUGUUUUUUUCCUAGGUCUUUUUUUAGAAGAUGAUCAAAUUGGGGGAGGGGGGAGGGAGGGGUCGUGUAUAUGGUCAAAACGACACUGAUGUAUAUUAGGUCCUAGAGUCUUGUUUGUUUUAUAGGGUUUUUUUAGGUUAGAGAGUAUGGGCCUAGGAAUUAUGGGCUUGAGAAUUAUGGG